GGGCCUGCGUUUCAUUAGCUAGUUGGUAGGGUAAUGGCCUACCAAGGCAACGAUGAGUAGCUGGUCUGAGAGGAUGAUCAGCCACACUGGAACUGAAACACGGUCCAGACUCCUACGGGAGGCAGCAGUGGGGAAUAUUGCGCAAUGGGCGAAAGCCUGACGCAGCAACGCCGUGUGAGGGAUGAAGGCUUUCGGGUCGUAAACCUCUGUCGGAAGGGAAGAACGGGCAUUGGUCUAAUAGGCCUUUGUUUUGACGGUACCUUUAGAGGAAGCACCGGCUAACUCCGUGCCAGCAGCCGCGGUAAUACGGAGGGUGCAAGCGUUAUUCGGAAUUACUGGGCGUAAAGCGCACGUAGGCGGCCUUGUAAGUCAGGGGUGAAAUCCCACGGCUCAACCGUGGAACUGCCUUUGAAACUGCAGGGCUUGAAUCCUGGAGAGGGUGGCGGAAUUCCUGGUGUAGGAGUGAAAUCCGUAGAUAUCAGGAGGAACACCGGUGGCGAAGGCGGCCACCUGGACAGGCAUUGACGCUGAGGUGCGAAAGUGUGGGGAGCAAACAGGAUUAGAUACCCUGGUAGUCCACACUGUAAACGAUGGACACUAGAUGCCGG
RNAcentral lists this ribosomal RNA (608 nucleotides) under uncultured sulfate-reducing bacterium. RNAcentral's name for it is "bacterial SSU rRNA". It matches the Rfam family "Bacterial small subunit ribosomal RNA", at positions 227 to 826 of the family's 1533-position model. The record is from RNAcentral.